GGGAGCAGCGUCCACCGACCACGAUCUUCUGGAGAAUGGUUCGNGUGGUAGCAUGCCUGAUGGGACCCNNAAGAUGGUGAACUAUGCCUGAGCAGGGUGRRGCCAGAGGAAACUCUGGUGGAGGCCCGUCGCGAUACUGACGUGCRAAUCGUUCGUCUGACUUGGGUAUAGGGGCGAAAGACUAAUCGAACCACGAACCGGGACGUGGCGGCGGAUGGCGACGUCAGGAAAUCCGGAGACGCCGGCGAGGGCCCUGGGAAGAGUUAUCUUUUCUUCUUAACAGCCCGCCCACCCUGAAAUCGGAUCAACCGGAGAUAGGGUCUAGCGGCUGGAAGANUACCGCACGUCCAGCGGUGUCCGGUGCCCUCGGCGGCCCUUGAAAAUCCGGAGGACGGAAAAGGAUUGGCUCUGGGGGUUGGGCCUAGGGGUCUNGCGCCCCGAAGCCAGCGGCUGCUGUGGGCGUGCCCGAGCCGCUCCGCGUGCCGGUCNGGCGAAGGSUUGGGGNNCNUUCCCUUGGCGAGGAACNACCGUCUCNGAMCUGGCUCGGACNAGGNNNNUCCGMCUGUUUNAUU
RNAcentral lists this ribosomal RNA (572 nucleotides) under Welwitschia mirabilis. RNAcentral describes it as "28S rRNA". It matches the Rfam family "Eukaryotic large subunit ribosomal RNA", at positions 751 to 2148 of the family's 3401-position model. Lineage: Eukaryota; Viridiplantae; Streptophyta; Gnetopsida; Welwitschiales; Welwitschiaceae. The record is from RNAcentral.